GGUGCCAUGGUACCAUACGUUGAUGCAAAGUAAAAAGCAUAGAAAAUGUAUACAGUAGGCCUAGGCCUAUUCUUUGGUUGAUCUGGAAGAAUCAAGCAGCCUGGCCUCAAACUAAUGAUUGAUUUGCCUAACCACAAGAUUAGUACAAAACUAAAGACAAUUAACAGAAAGAGAAGACACAGCUUUUGAGCAGACACAAAUGAUCUAGAUGCUGGGAAUAACCACAAUACAAUCCUCGCAGCACCAUCUACUGCACAAGACAAAACUGAUUCCUCCAUGACAAGACAGAGUUGUCAAUGCAAGUCAACAUUUGUCAGAGGAGCUACUGUAACAAAAACAGCACUCUGAAGCGAAACAAGACUCAUGAAGACGUAAUUUAAUACAAUUUCUAAAUAGGAUGAAUCUCAUAUUGCCACGUCAUAUUCGAAAAUGAGACAUACCAAGAAAGUCUGGUUUGGUGCAUUUGUUGUUUGAGAGGUACACCGCAAGAGCUCCUCUUGUUUCUGACAAUUCG
RNA transcript from Anneissia japonica, 514 nucleotides. It is a transcript of the gene named atlastin-2-like, with no coding region annotated. NCBI's taxonomy places the organism in Eukaryota, Metazoa, Echinodermata, Crinoidea, Comatulida, Comatulidae. The transcript has 3 exons. The record is from RefSeq and is a predicted model, not a curated record.